RNAcentral lists this small RNA (1384 nucleotides) under Histoplasma capsulatum var. duboisii H88. RNAcentral's name for it is "Histoplasma capsulatum H88 hypothetical RNA". The record is from RNAcentral. Lineage: Eukaryota; Fungi; Ascomycota; Eurotiomycetes; Onygenales; Ajellomycetaceae.
GGAUUUUCGUUUGAGAUGGUUAAUUAGACCCAUGGCCUUAUGGCAAAUCAGCAGGAAAUAAGCUAUAUGAUGCCGCAAUUACAAUUACUUAGGACCCCGGUUAGUCAUCCAUUGUCGCUGCACGGCACCUGCCAUCGGGGACUAAGUAAGAUAUAGUCUACGGAGUACAGAUGAAUGACGUAGAGACAACAUUUUACAUUAUAUCUGAACAUCCUUUAGUCAUUUCUUUUCCCCCGUGCUAAAUAGCUAUUCAGUGGACCCGACAACACUGAAAUAGAGAAAGAUACCUACGAACCAGUACUUAGAUUAAAAUCUAAUUUUGUAUAUAUAUGCAGAUCAAAAUAUCCCUUCUUUGUUGAAACAACAACAUUUUUUUACCUAGUUUACAUCAUGACAAAACCGAAAACCAUCUAAUCUAUCAAAAUCAUCUAAUAUCAUAAAACGACCACUUUCCGAUCAAUUCUCCACACAAAAACGUAAUCCAAUCUUAAUACACUUUCUUUCACACAAUCAUGUUAUAGGGGGAAAAAAAGGAAAAAAAAAUUUUUUUAUUUAUUUAAUUUUUUUCUUUUUUUCUUGGAACUUGUCAGUUUCGGAACCUAUCAUCGGCGUAAAUAUAUUUGGGAAGAAACCACAUCAUUUCACAUGUAAACGCCCCUGACAUCUAACUUCUGCCCUGGCUAUCGGCUAUCACCAAGAAUACCAGUUCUCUGACCAAUUCCUCUUGUUGUGCAGAUGUGAUUCUCAGUUGCGUAGGAGGAGAGAACUGAGAAAACACAGAUUGGGGUAAGUUCGCAAGUCAGAAUCCAAUUAUCAUAUUUUCUUUUCUUUUCUUUUUUUUUCGGACAUGCAAGUAGAUAGAUACUGCGUAGAGCAGGGAAGGGUUCACCUUCUCCAUAACAAAGGGUUCAACCUCCCUUCUCCCUCCGCUAUAGCCUGGUUGAAGCAACUAGAUGGAUACAAAGGAUAUCAAUAGAAAAGAUAUGUUGGCAUAGAUGACUCCCCUAUUCUUUCCUGCAAAACCACCCUCCUCAACGGCAGAAUUGUUUGGCAAAAAGCAGCUGUCUCUCAAAGUAGGAAAACUCCACUCUUCGAUUAGAUAAUCGGGUGAUUUGCCAUUAGUUACGCGCACCAGGAUAACGUCUACGAUUCUAGGAACUCAACUCACUAGGCAUUGGCAAUUUCCCAAUCCCAUUCCUACUAACCAUUUUGGAUGCAAUCCCGCUGUAUAGAAGUUAAAUGCUUGGACAAAAGAAAAAGAAAAAGCAACAUCGUAAGAGAGAAGAAAGGAAAAGUUUAAGGGGCAAAAAAAAAAAAAAACAAGAGGGAGAGAGAACGGAAAAGCGAGAACACAAGAAACACAGGAAAGGAAAGGAAAGGAAAG